GGAAAUCAGUAUGGCCACGACGUUUUAUCCUAGUGAUCACCAAGGUUAAUUUGGCUGAUCUGGAGGAACUUGAGGAUAUCAUUUUCCUCUGUCAUUACUCCUCACGAGUCCCUUCCACCCUCUGUGCUAAAUAGGAUGAUUUCAAAUGGACAAGGAUAUUGUAUUCAAGAAUAUGUAUGUAGUUUUCCUCUCCUUCUGAGCCCUCCAACAAGCCCUGAAGACCUGACAUGUAGUUGGCCCUCAUUAAAU
RNAcentral lists this small RNA (249 nucleotides) under Loxodonta africana (African savanna elephant). Its description in RNAcentral is "7SK RNA (ENSLAFG00000033143.1)". The record is from RNAcentral. Lineage: Eukaryota; Metazoa; Chordata; Mammalia; Proboscidea; Elephantidae.